AUAAAAACGAGAAACAGAAUUGUGACUAGGGGAAAUAUUAAUUAUAUCAUUAGUAAAAUCGAAAUUUUCCUAAAGUAGAUGACACUCACAUUUCCAAAUAAAACUUCUCCAGACUUGUCCAUUCUCCAGAAGGUCUUAAACCUGCUUUCUUUUCCUUCCUUCCUUCCUUCCUUUUCUCUUUUUUUUUUUUUUUUUUGAGAAAGGAUACAGUGUCAUGAGAAGGUCUUAAACCUGUUUUCUUUUCCUUCCUUCCUUCCAUCUUUAUCUUUCUUUUUUUUUUUUUUGAAAAAGGAUGCAGUGUCACGAUUAUGGCUCACUGCAACCUUGAUUGAACUCCUGGUCUCAAACAAUCCUUCCACCUUGGCCUCCAGAGUAGCUGGGACUAGAGGCAUGUGCCACCAUACCCAGCUAAUUUAUUUUUUUAAUUUUGUCUGUAGAGACAGGGUCUUGCUGCUAUGUUGCCCAGGCUGGUAUCAAACACCUGGCCUCAAGCAAUCCUCCCACCUUGGCUUCCCAAAGUGCUGGGAUUACAGCUAUGAGCCAUUGCACUCAGCCUUAAACCUGUUUUCUAUUAUAACAAAACUUAAAUAUAAGGAAAUAUUACAGUUUUCAUAAAGAUCCACACAGUACUUUGAGGAGUGCAAAAACAACUAGAUUUGAGGUUCUAAAGGUCUUAUGAACUUGGGAUAUGGCACUAAUGUGACAAAAAGCUUCUAAGUAUACGAUCUUGCAAGCUAAUCUGCAUGUCAUGAAACAGGAAGUUUCACAAACCAAAUUGAAAUGCUUACAUCACACAGCUUAUUGAGUCAAUCUUAAACACACAACAAAAAUCAACAGGAAAGAGAUAGGUAAAUUAAUACACUUUGCACAGGGUAUAAGCACUUACUGAAUCCUACUUAAGCCACAUGCAUUUGUCCUGAAUUCCUCAUGAACAUUUUGUGCCUAAGUCCUUCUGGAUUAGUUUGCUAGAGCUGCCAUAACUGGGUACCAUGAAUUAUGUGGCUUCAACAACAGAAGUUUACUGUUUCAAAGUUUUGGAGACUAGAAGUCUGAAGUCAAUAUGUCCACAGCAUUGAUUCCUGCUCAGAGCUUUCAAGGAGAAUCUAUCCCACAUCUCCAUCCUAGCAUCUGGUGGUCUGCUUGCAAUCUUUUGCAUUCCUUGGCUUCUGCUACAUCACCCCAAUCUCUGUCUUCAUCUUCACAUGCCGUUAUCCCUCUGUGCAUGUCUGUGUCCAAAUUUCUUUUUUUAUAAGGACACCAAGUCAUAUUGGAUUAGGAGCUCACCCUACUCCAGUAUGAUGUCAUCUUAACCAUUUACAUCUGCAACACCACUAAUUCUAAACAAGGUCACAUUCUGUGAUACUGGGGGUUAAGACCCCAAUAUAUGAAUUUGGGGGACACAAUUCAACCCAUAAUACCUUCCAUUCCUUCUUUAUUUAUUUAUUUAUUUAUUUUUUUAUUGAUC
Molecule: long non-coding RNA, 1465 nt
Filed under: Homo sapiens (human)
Lineage: Eukaryota; Metazoa; Chordata; Mammalia; Primates; Hominidae
Description: HSALNT0118972
Source: RNAcentral